Molecule: ribosomal RNA, 253 nt
Filed under: uncultured bacterium
Lineage: Bacteria
Description: partial 16S ribosomal RNA
Rfam family: Bacterial small subunit ribosomal RNA
Source: RNAcentral
UCCGUAGGGUGCAGUCGUUAAUCGGAAUUACUGGGCGUAAAGCGUGCGCAGGCGGCUCCUUAAGUCAGAUGUGAAAGCCCCGGGCUUAACCCGGGAACUGCGUUUGAAACUGGGGAGCUAGAGUGUGGAAGAGGGGGGUGGAAUUCCAGGUGUAGCAGUGAAAUGCGUAGAGAUCUGGAGGAACACCGAUGGCGAAGGCAGCCCCCUGGGCUAACACUGACGCUCAUGCACGAAAGCGUGGGGAGCAAACAGG